GAGGGUAUAGCUCAGUGGUGGGUGGGUGCCUAGCAUGCACAGGGUCCUGGGUUCAAUCCCCAGGACCUCCA
RNAcentral lists this transfer RNA (71 nucleotides) under Camelus bactrianus (Bactrian camel). It matches the Rfam family "tRNA". Rfam says of the family: Transfer RNA (tRNA) molecules are approximately 80 nucleotides in length. RNAcentral also lists the same sequence under 2 other names. The record is from Rfam by way of RNAcentral. Lineage: Eukaryota; Metazoa; Chordata; Mammalia; Artiodactyla; Camelidae.